UUUUUUUUUUUUUCGGGAUCAAAAAUUUGUUUUUUGAACUGGAUUAGUACCCAGGUAAUCAAAAUUUAUUAAUUCGGGAGUAAAGUUUUGUUUAAACCGAAAAAAUAUUGACUGACUUUAGAUUUUUCUUUGGAAUAUGUGAUUUUGUUGGAGAGCCCUCUUUUUUGGUAAAUUUUGUUGGCACAUGUAUGAUUGUUUAGUUUUUAUUUUAUUUUGUAAUGCUUUUUUUGUUUUGGCAUUUAAAACAGAUAUAUAUUUGGUUUAUAAAUUUAUUUUUCAUGUGUUACUAUUAUAAAUUUUUUUUGGAUUAAUUUUUUAUUUUUUUUU
This 327-nucleotide ribosomal RNA is filed under the name Onchocerca lupi. Its description in RNAcentral is "partial small subunit ribosomal RNA". Lineage: Eukaryota; Metazoa; Nematoda; Chromadorea; Rhabditida; Onchocercidae. The record is from RNAcentral.